RNAcentral lists this long non-coding RNA (822 nucleotides) under Triticum aestivum (bread wheat). RNAcentral describes it as "long non-coding RNA (TAES_LNC008857)". The record is from RNAcentral. Lineage: Eukaryota; Viridiplantae; Streptophyta; Magnoliopsida; Poales; Poaceae.
CUCCACCAUGGCUCAUCCCUCCGGUGUGCCACCCCACUCUCAAAAACAUCACAUCCCUCUUCUAUCUUGCCUACCAUCCUCCAAAGUAUCGACCCUCCCUUGUUGCGUUGUUGAAACACCGUCGGCGCCUUCCCUGUCCUCCUUGUAUCUAGAUCUAGUACCGAAGGUAAUCGCUCAUGGCCAGAUCUGGUCUCCAUGUCAUCCCCACAUUUAGAUCUGGUCUCAUCGGCAAUAGAGGAUACAUUCAUCCUCUUGAUGGCUAGAUUUGGUCUUCAUGUCAUCCCCAUGUUCAGAUCUGGUCUCAUCGACAACAGGGGAUGCCUUCAUCCUCUCGAUGGCUAGAUCUAGGUGCUCGUCCUUUUCCCCAUCACCACUGUGGUCAGGUUCAAGCAUCUUUCUACCAUUGUUCACGUUAUCUAAUUCAGUUUCUCAUUCUUCCUUGGUUCCAUGGUCAGAUCUGAUCUCUCAUCAUUCCACGGGCAGGUCCGGUCUUCAAUCCUUCCUUCGUUGUCUUAGCGGACAGAUGUGGAAACAACACCGACAAUCAAUGGUAUGUUUAUAUAUUUGCUUUGUUCUUAUUUUGUAAUGUUUGCUUAAAAAUUUGGGCCAUUCCAUUCUUUCUUCUCAUGUGGGAGCCAGGACAGCUAGAUAGCUUGGGCAAAUUACAAAGGAUCCCGGCGAUAAGCAUUUGCCAUGAAAAUUGUUCAUUACUUUCCUGUUUCUUGCUUAUAGCUCGCCUCGAGGAACAAUUCAACACAUGAAAAGUACCCUCCUUCACAUUAUCUUUUUUUUUUGCGAGGAACCCUCCCUCACAUUAUCAAC